Molecule: ribosomal RNA, 756 nt
Filed under: uncultured fungus
Lineage: Eukaryota; Fungi
Description: SSU rRNA
Rfam family: Eukaryotic small subunit ribosomal RNA
Source: RNAcentral
GUGCCAGCAGCCGCGGUAAUUCCAGCUCCAAUAGCGUAUAUUAAAGUUGUUGUGGUUAAAAAGCUCGUAGUUGAACCCUGGGCCUGGCUGGCCGGUCCGCCUCACCGCGUGCACUGGUCCGGCCGGGCCUUCCCUCUGUGGAACCCCAUACCCUUCACUGGGCGUGGCGGGGAAACAGGACAUUUACUUUGAAAAAAUUAGAGUGCUCCAGGCAGGCCUAUGCUCGAAUACAUUAGCAUGGAAUAAUAAAAUAGGACGCGCGGUUCUAUUUUGUUGGUUUAUAGGACCGCCGUAAUGAUUAAUAGGGACAGUCGGGGGCAUCAGUAUUCAACUGUCAGAGGUGAAAUUCUUGGAUCAGUUGAAGACUAACUACUGCGAAAGCAUUUGCCAAGGAUGUUUUCAUUAAUCAGGAACGAAAGUUAGGGGAUCGAAGACGAUCAGAUACCGUCGUAGUCUUAACCAUAAACUAUGCCGACUAGGGAUCGGACGGUGUUAUUCAUGACCCGUUCGGCACCUCACGAGAAAUCAAAGUGCUUGGGCUCCAGGGGGAGUAUGGUCGCAAGGCUGAAACUUAAAGAAAUUGACGGAAGGGCACCACCAGGGGUGGAGCCUGCGGCUUUAUUUGACUCAACACGGGAAACUCACCAGGUCCAGACACAAUAAGGAUUGACAGAUUGAGAGCUCUUUUCUUGAUUUUUGUGGGUGGUGGUGCAUGGCCGUUCUUAGUUGGUGGGGUGACUUGGUCUGCUUUAAUUG